Molecule: ribosomal RNA, 233 nt
Filed under: uncultured bacterium
Lineage: Bacteria
Description: partial 16S ribosomal RNA
Rfam family: Bacterial small subunit ribosomal RNA
Source: RNAcentral
CGGGACGGGUGAGUAAUGUCUGGGAAACUGCCUGAUGGAGGGGGGUAACUACUGGAAACGGUAGCUAAUACCGCAUAAUGUCGCAAGACCAAAGAGGGGGACCUUCGGGCCUCUUGCCAUCGGAUGUGCCCAGAUGGGAUUAGCUAGUAGGUGGGGUAACGGCUCACCUAGGCGACGAUCCCUAGCUGGUCUGAGAGGAUGACCAGCCACACUGGAACUGAGACACGGUCCAG